GUUUCCGUGGUGUAACCGUUAUCACUUGCGCCUCACACGCGCAAGGUCCCCGGUUCGAUCCCGGGCUGAAACA
Molecule: transfer RNA, 73 nt
Filed under: Ixodes scapularis (black-legged tick)
Lineage: Eukaryota; Metazoa; Arthropoda; Arachnida; Ixodida; Ixodidae
Description: tRNA-Val for anticodon CAC
Source: RNAcentral